RNAcentral lists this transfer RNA (73 nucleotides) under Pteropus alecto (black flying fox). It matches the Rfam family "tRNA". Rfam says of the family: Transfer RNA (tRNA) molecules are approximately 80 nucleotides in length. Lineage: Eukaryota; Metazoa; Chordata; Mammalia; Chiroptera; Pteropodidae. The record is from Rfam by way of RNAcentral.
GGUUCCAUAGUGUAGCGGUUGGCACGUCUGCUUUACACGCAGAAGGUCCUGGGUUCGCGCCCCAGCGGAGCCA